UAAGCGGAGGAAAAGAAACUAACAAGGAUUCCCCUAGUAACGGCGAGUGAAGCGGGAAGAGCUCAAAUUUGAAAUCUGGUAGCCUUCGGUUGCCCGAGUUGUAAUCUAGAGAAGUGUUUUCCGUGCCGGCCCAUGUACAAGUCCCUUGGAACAGGGCGUCAUAGAGGGUGAGAAUCCCGUCCUUGACAUGGACCCCCGGUGCUUUGUGAUACACUUUCAACGAGUCGAGUUGUUUGGGAAUGCAGCUCAAAAUGGGUGGUGAAUUCCAUCUAAAGCUAAAUAUUGGCGAGAGACCGAUAGCGAACAAGUACCGUGAGGGAAAGAUGAAAAGCACUUUGGAAAGAGAGUUAAACAGUACGUGAAAUUGUUGAAAGGGAAACGAUUGAAGUCAGUCAUGCUCUUGGGACUUACCUCCCUUGAGUGGGGUCAACAUCAGUUUUGAUCGAUGGAUAAAGGCACGAGGAAGGUAGCACUCUCGGGUGAACUUAUAGCCUCGCGUCAUAUACAUUGAUUGGGACUGAGGAACGCAGCAUGCCUUAUGGCCGGGAUUCGUCCACGUACAUGCUUAGGAUGUUGACAUAAUGGCUUUAAACGACCCGUCUUGAAACAC
This 610-nucleotide ribosomal RNA is filed under the name Naganishia albida. RNAcentral's name for it is "eukaryotic LSU rRNA". It matches the Rfam family "Eukaryotic large subunit ribosomal RNA", at positions 47 to 662 of the family's 3401-position model. The record is from RNAcentral. Lineage: Eukaryota; Fungi; Basidiomycota; Tremellomycetes; Filobasidiales; Filobasidiaceae.